GUAAUCCUUUCCUGGGGAUACUGUCUUUCUACCAAUUGUAAUCAUAUCAGACACUAUGGAGGAAACAAGGAUUUUCAACAUGUGAAAUUAGAAACAAGUAUCCAUAAGAAAUAAGAAGAACUCUGAUGUUUUAUUUAAUUCAGGAUUCUAUGUCACACUGAUGAACCAGAUGCAUUUGAGAUGCACGCACAUAGGACAUGAAGGUGAUGGCCCGCUUUUCCUGUUUUUCCACAUCCACUAAUUAUUUUUAGAAAUUGAAAAUGUAUUUCUGGGAAAAUGGCAAGACAUCUUCUGAUCGAGCCAUCAGAGGAUAAAGGUGGCAUGGGGCUGGGUGACAGUCAACGUUCUCCAAGUCACUCUUAUGCAAAGAACAUAACUGUUCAAUAAUGCUUUCCAGUAUUUCUCAACUUCAGUAUGGAGAGCUCACAAAGUGAGAAGACGAGAGAAGACAGAAUGCUACACAGAAACCUUUGUAAGCACCCCUUUGAGUUCUAAGCAAGGAAAGAUGAAUGUGAACCAUCCCACAAGGUACCAUCAGCAACAGUUCCAAACACCAGAGAUUGCUGAAAGACCUAACAAAAUCAGCAUGGAUGCUUGCAUCUGUUGCCACAGGAAGACAAUCGUCAAUCAUUUGGUUUCCCAGACUAAACUAAAUGAGCUAUUGAGACAGGACUGAGAUAAUGACGGGAAUUUUUUUCUCAGUGCCUUCUCGAUAAUCCUGACCAGAAAUGACUGCAAGAAAAUUAAAACCUUGAGACAUUUCACUUUUAUAAUUCUAUUUAAUUUCUAAAUUAGCAAAUUGACCUGGUUUUAUCCAGAGCUGAUGUUCCCAAAUGAAGCUUGGGAGCUAUGAAUGCCAAAAAAAAAAAAAAAAAAACCCUGAAAUGAUUUAUAUUAGUGUUCCUAUUAAGUAGACAGUAAUGGUUUUUCAAGUCUGAAUACAGUAAAUGUUACUUAUCUCUCCAGUUACCCACCUCCCUCUAUUUCCCCAUUAUUUCCUGCAAAUAUUUUUUCCAGUUCUUUUUUUUCUUCAGCAAAGUGGCUUAUUGCAGGGAAAAUAGUCUUCACCUUCCUACCCCAGUGUUAUGGGAUCUUUCUGCAAGAGACACCUGGCUGACAAAGAGCCCUUGUAUCUGUUGGUUAAAGAAAAUAUAUGUACUGUAUAUUUAUCUUUUUUUAUUUGAAUCUUUCUUCUAGUCAAUGCUCCAUGAAUGAGAGAUAGAAUAUUUUAAUGAAAUUAUUGGGAAGGCAGAAAACUAUACUGUUCUGUGGUUUUUUUUAAAAAAAUAGUUCUGUGACCACACUUUCUAGACAUUUAUUUCAUAAGUCAUUCCCAUUCUAUUUGAUAGGAAAGAAAUGGGAUUUGAUUUUCCCUCUAUACCCCCCCCCCCAAAAAAAAACACCUGAUGAAUUUUUUAUGGGUGGAUUAUGAGCAUGCUUACUGAGUUACCGGUAGUAUGAUAGAGAAAUACAGGUGAAUGCUGUUCUUUCAUUGUAUGAUCUUAAUCUACUACCAAUAGGUAGCUAUGACAUCUAUCAAAUCAUUAAAGAAGACAUAAUAGCGGAUUUGCUCCCAGUAUGCUUUUUUAAUUAAGAAAUUUAGGCAGCCAGAGUGACUACAAACUGAAGAAGUGUAACAAAAUAAACAAAUCACAACAACAUUUUGCCAUCUUGCAGCAUUAUAUUACACUCAAGUUCACUAUCAAAGAAAUGUAAAAGACCUCCUAAAGUAUUCUGAAAAUAAGGUAGAAAAAGAGAAGAUUCUUUCUGGAAUUUUAAAAACAGUUUUGGAUUAAUUUUACGUUACAAUCCAAUUUGUUUUAUUCAUGUAUUAUUUAAUCAUGAAGUUUUUAUACUAUCACAGUCAAAAGAUUCUCGGUUUUGCACAGGCUAAUGAUGGCUGGAUUUAUUAAACCCAUAUUAACCAAUGAGGUCACUGCUGAAUUAAAGCUGAACUGCCAGAUCAUGACCACUGCUGUGUUAUUGUGUUCCUCUCCAAUUCUGGAGACAUCAAGAAUUUUUGCUGGCCUAAAACAUGUUAUUCUCCUAUCAGCUCUCUAUUCCACACCCAGAAUCAGUUAAUAUUGUGCAGCUCUCCAUACAAUGUCUUUAUAUGCAUAAAGAAAUUUAAACAGAAAUAUAUUCAAUUGUAUUAUUGUUAAACUUACAAAAUAUAUUAUAGUGUUUCAAUACAGAGGUACUUGUACAGUAUUGAUUAAGAAUAUUAAUAUAGUAGUGUUUAGACAACUAUUGAAGAUAAAAAGGAAAAAACAUAUCAAUAUUAAUUAUGAUUUAAAAUGUCAGUGUUAAUGAAAUAAUAUUUGGCUUUUUCAUCCAGAAUUGAGCGUUGCAUUAAAAAAACUACUGCAGGUUACAUCAAAGUAUUUGAGGUACAGUAACGGUUUUGGUUUUAAGCUAAUUAUCUAGUAUGAAGAUCUGUAUUGUAUUGCUAUUUAAUAUUGUUUGUGCCUGUUGAAAAAAAAAGAACAAAGCAAAUUUGUCAACAAUUAAAAUACAAAGGAAUAAAGUGAAAUAAAAAGGAAAAGGAGAAAAAUAAGGUUAUUCCAUUUCUAUCUUUCCCUUUUUUUAUGCCUCUGCUAAUUUAUAAUACUCAUAAACAUUUGGGUCUCCUUAGAACCCAGACUGCAAGUGAUUAUAUUUGCCAUGCUGUGUGAUAUAUGGUAUGUAUGGGAACCAUUCUUGCUUAAUUUUGGUUAAACAUCUUUUGUAAAUAUAUAUUGUUAAUUUUGCCAGUGUUGCAUAUUCUCAAAGUUUAAGUUCCCAAUCAGAUAUUUUUGGGAAUUGCAUUUUCCUUCCAAUGUUGGACAAAGUUUGUUUUCACUGGUGUG
Crotalus tigris (Tiger rattlesnake) is the source of this 2849-nucleotide long non-coding RNA. RefSeq lists it as uncharacterized. The record is from RefSeq and is a predicted model, not a curated record. Lineage: Eukaryota; Metazoa; Chordata; Lepidosauria; Squamata; Viperidae. The transcript has 3 exons.